This is a non-coding RNA of Pelobates cultripes (western spadefoot toad), 157 nucleotides long. NCBI's taxonomy places the organism in Eukaryota, Metazoa, Chordata, Amphibia, Anura, Pelobatidae. The record is from the annotation of a GenBank genome assembly.
GCAGACACAUUCCAGCCAAUCAGCAGCAGUCACUCCCUCCCAGACCCUCCCACCUCCUGGACAGCAUCCAUUGUGAAGCUGCAUUCUUAGUGAGCUGUCCAGGAGGUGGGAGGGUCUGGGAGGGAGCGUCUGCUGCUGAUUGGCUGGAAUGUGUCUG